GACGAACGCUGGCGGCGUGCUUAACACAUGCAAGUCGAACGGAAAGGCCCUGCUCUUGUGGGGUGCUCGAGUGGCGAACGGGGGAGUAACACGUGAGUAACCUGCCCUUGACUUUGGGAUAACUUCAGGAAACUGGGGCUAAUACCGGAUAGGAGCUCCUGCUGCACGGUGGGGGUUUGAAAGUUUCGGCGGUUGGGGAUGGACUCGCGGCUUAUCAGCUUGUUGGUGGGGUAGUGGCUUACCAAGGCUUUGACGGGUAGCCGGCCUGAGAGGGUGACCGGCCACAUUGGGACUGAGAUACGGCCCAGACUCCUACGGGAGGCAGCAGUGGGGAAUAUUGCACAAUGGGCGGAAGCCUGAUGCAGCAACGCCGCGUGCGGGAUAACGGCCUUCGGGUUGUAAACCGCUUUCGCCUGUGACGAAGCGUGAGUGACGGUAAUGGGUAAAGAAGCACCGGCUAACUACGUG
This 468-nucleotide ribosomal RNA is filed under the name uncultured bacterium. RNAcentral describes it as "partial 16S ribosomal RNA". It matches the Rfam family "Bacterial small subunit ribosomal RNA", at positions 28 to 507 of the family's 1533-position model. The record is from RNAcentral.